GAGAUUAAACGCCUAUCACCUGAUUCCCGAUGGGAAGAGAUUGCUCUCAUCAGAUGAAGAUCAAGAGAAGAUGCUGUAGUUAAAAGAGUUUGGAGAAGUCUCCUGGGAGCAGAGGUUGGGGUGUGCAUCCAGCCUCUGCUGCUUCCCAUGCCCAGCACAAGCAACCGAGGAGGUGAAGCCAGCUUUACCCAGAGAUGCCGCUUUUACAACCAGCUGCCACAGACAAGAUGCAUGUUAUUCCUGUGCCAGGAGUGGACCUGAACCUCAGCUCCAGGAAUCACAAAGCAGACUUUAUGCAGUCUCCUACUUCAGCCUGUCAAAAUGAUAUCCACCAAUUAAAACCAAAGCUGCUAAACUGGUGAGCACAAGCAACUCGGUAUCAUGCUGUUAGCCUUCUAGGUGCAUGAGCAGGUUGUUUCACUACAGAAAAGGAAGUAAGGCUGCAGCCUGUAUUUAGGAGAAGUUCCUGAAGCCUGUAUGGGGACCCUGAGCCUGAAGAGGUAUCUGUGUUGUCCUAGUCCCGCCUCCCCUUAUAGCAGUUGGGAGAUACUGCUCUCCCUGGACGCUGAGUGUUGGGACUGCCUCAACUCUAAACAGUGCCUUUUGUCCUUGAUGGGAACAUCGCUUGAAAGGAUAGUGAGCAAGGACUAUGGAGGAGUUACCAUCCUCUUUAGAAGUGCCCGGUUUGAAGGCCGUGGUGGGAUAAGGAGGAGGAGAGAUGCUCGGCUGCAGAUUUUCGUCUAUGGCCACACAGAAGAUUGCAGGCUGCACGGCUCCCGGUGCCUUGCCUUCCACAAACCCUGUGGAGAGAGAAUCUCCAAAGCUUGCACCAGAGCAUAUUUCAGUAAGUGCCACAGUUCAGCGUGCUCGUACCAUGCUGUUGGAGUUGCAGAUGCUUCUGUACCACGCACUUCUCUCUGCUGUUGCAGCCCCUAACGGGAGUUAAUUGGGUCCUGGGAUACCGAGAAGACAAACUGAAGAAGAUGCGGUUCAGCGGCUACGCGAGGCUACCCAUGCAUUCGCAAGAUCGCCUCUUCCAGUUUGUUCCCCAAUAACCUCCAUCAGCUAUUUGCAUUUCAAUGGUUUCCAAGCCUCUGGUAAUCGCUGGGGGAGGAGGCGGGUAAAAAGGCUUUUAUAUUAGAGUUAGAUCAGCCUUUGCAAGCCUGAAGGAGUGAGGGAGCGUCGCAGCAGCUGAUGCAACCCGUGACAGUAUAUUGUUUGCCGUUCUGUGCGAGCCUGGGGUGCACACCAGUGCCUGUGAGUUGAUUCAUAACCACAAAGAAAAGUAUGAAUGUAGUGUUGGCAGUAAGGCAGCAGCAGCAGCAUUGCUGCCCUCCGAGGCUGGAUGGAAACGGGGCGGUAAGAGUUGGGAAUUCGUGUUGGAGCAGCUCAUAUGGCUAAACCCCUCCACGUCCGAGGGUGCUGUCCCUGGCCUGUUGUGCCCAGCCAGAGCUGGGGCUCUGUGUGGCGGGUGAGAGUUGUGCCUUUAAGGGAGUGUGGGCCCAAGGCAGCUGGAGAGCCUGGGUGCUGGCCAGCAAGU
This is a long non-coding RNA of Pogoniulus pusillus (Red-fronted tinkerbird), 1540 nucleotides long. RefSeq lists it as uncharacterized. The transcript is spliced from 5 exons. The record is from RefSeq and is a predicted model, not a curated record. NCBI's taxonomy places the organism in Eukaryota, Metazoa, Chordata, Aves, Piciformes, Lybiidae.